This 29036-nucleotide long non-coding RNA is filed under the name Malus domestica (apple). RNAcentral's name for it is "long non-coding RNA (MDOM_LNC011534)". Lineage: Eukaryota; Viridiplantae; Streptophyta; Magnoliopsida; Rosales; Rosaceae. The record is from RNAcentral.
UACGUACUUAUCCUCACUAGUGACGGAAGCAACCAAACGAGAAAUAAGAAAUAUUUUUUAUACUACUAUUUUUGUGGUUGAGUCAAACGACAUCGUAUUUUAUACUUUUCUAACGUUUUGUUUGUUUUGUUUAUUUUGUCUUUGUGGUUUAGUGAAACUCAGAGAUAAUGUUUUAAAAACGACUAUUAUUAUUUCUAAAGCAACCUAAUCAACUAUUAUUUGUAACCCUCUUAUUUGGUCUCAUUUUUCUGUCAAACGAUUCAAACUAGAUUUCUUUGUAUUUUCUUCCUAUAAUUUCAAAAUUUUUACUGGUUACCUUGCUCUCACUUAGUUGUAUUAUACACUUUUUUUUUAUUCUUUCUAUUAAAUUUAACGUGUCUUGCAAUUUUGUGAAGAUUAUUUCAAUUGCCCAUGUUAUGAGUUCGAAUUUUUUUCUCAAAACAUAUAUGAAAUUAAGGCCUUCUCUCACAAAGAAUUAUGGCUCUGCCACUGAACCCUUUCACGGUAAGAAAAAUGUUUUGUGGACUUUAUUAAAUUAGAAAACACUUUUUAAUGAUCGAAUUUGCUUAUGAUUAUUCUGAUAGUUUUUUUUUUUGAAAAAGUCUAAAUUUUCAGUUGUGUUGUAAAAUCGACUGUGGGUGCAGUGGAAUAAAUGAAACAAGACACAAAAUUUACGAGGUUCCUCUACAGUCAGUGUGACUGGAGCACGUCCUCGGGGCAGCAGUGGUGCUUUCAUUAUAAUUUGAAAUAAUAGGAGUACAAAGAUAACUCUCUCUAUUAUCUCCUCUCAUCUUCCUCUAUUCUCUCUCUUCCUCUUCCUUCCUUCCUCUCUUUCUUUCCCGUGAACUCCCCUCACUUCAAUCCUCUUCUUCCUUUAUAUAAACAAAAGAAAGCACUAUUCACUUUACAAAUUUUCCACAAAUGAAUAGUGAAAAUACUGUGCAUAAAUAGUAACAAACUAUUCAUGUGGACCAUCCACACACUAUUUACAACACUCCCCCUUGGAUGGCCACAAGUCUUCGAUUGACUCGUUAAAACCUUGAUCUGUCUUGGAUGCUCCCCCUGAUGAGUAUCUCCCCCUGAUUUCAAAUCAUUUAGGUUGAUCGUUGAUCGUUCUGAUUUAGUCUCUUAGUAAGAAGAGUUGCUGAAAGAGUUGCUUUACUUAUUGUUAACUUUCCACAGGCUUUUUCUUGAAUUGGGUUGUAGGACUUUCUGCUAGACUAGCAUCCAAAUGUCUGAAUUUACUCCUUUUAUCUGGAGCGAAAUUUGAUUCAAGAGUAGUGAACACUUGAUAUUGAAUCGGACUUGUGAUUUCUUCAAGGACCUUCGAGGCUUGAUCUUGAAUGAAAUUGGACCAUGAGGAGCUUCAUGUGGCAAGUGAUCUUCAGUUUUGUCAGGGAUGAAUCAGCACGCGUUUGUUGCGCUUGUCUCCACAUGCUUCAAUGUAUCAUUUUCACUUUCCUUACUUGCUCCCCUUGCUUAAGUAGUAUUUUCCCUGCUUUUCCCCCAUGCAUGUGGCAUCUUCUCCGGCAGUAUUUGCCCUCUGAUGCCGGAGUGGAGUGCAACCCUUGCAUUUGGAUGGUUCAUCACUUCUUGGUGACUGGAGACCUAGCUCCAACCGUUGAAGAUGACUACUCGAGAGCAACACUAGGUAAGCAAUCAGGAAAGGUUCCAGGCAGUCGGUUCCUUACCGGGAGUUUGAGUGGAGGUUCCGACAUAUUGCUUUCUUUAUCCUUGUUUUCGCAGGCAAGAACAAGGACAAAGGAAAUGACAGGGAGAUUGCAUGAUAUGAGAUAAUCUUGCUCUGGUCCCUGAAGAUAUGUGAUAAUCUUGCUCUGGUGUGACAUGUUUGAAGAGGUAUUCUCGGAGAGGAAGAAAACUGAGUAUUUCGAGAUGCUAUGUUGAAGAUGCAUUCUCGGAGAUGAGGAAGAGUUAGGUAUUCUUGCAGUGUUGCGGGUCUGCCUUGUUAUGGAGAACAGAGGUCGACAUAUAUAGAGAUUUCUCAAUAGCAAGUGGUGGUGCUGUGCUUUUACUCUUGUCAGCAACUGUGGUGUAAAUAGAACAGUAAGAUUUACGCGUUUUCAACUUUGUCAGAGAUCUUUGACAAAAUUGCACGCGACAUCUGAAAAAGCUGGGAUUACGUCUGAAAAAUGCCAACGAACUUUAUGCAGGAAAAUCUGGCUUUUGAAAUUCGGAGAGCGGUGCCUCUUCGAUCUUUGAACGAGUGGCUCUGCUGCCUCUUUCUUUAUAGAGACAUCAAUUGUGUUCAAGAGUAUGCUCAGAAAGUUGCUGCCUGUAGAAAUUUCCUCUAUCUUGCACUUCUGAAAUUUUAUUUGACCUCUGUUUUUCCUUCAUCAUUUCUGAAAAAUGAUUUGCCCAUCUAACAUUUUCUUAGAUUUGAGUCUUAGGAGUGAUACAGACGAGCAGCGUCAGGAUAAUAUAUGGCGCCCGUCCUUCUUAUCUUCUAAUGGUCCUCUUACGGUUGGGGACUCUGUGAUGAAGAAUAACAUAACCGCUACUGUGGUAGCUAGGAAUCUUCUCACUCCAAGGGAUAACAAGAUCCUUUUAGAACGGUCUGAAGAGUCGGCCGUUCAAGACUCCUUGGCUCUCAGUGUUCAAUGUGCUGGCUCUGUGUCCAAUAUGGGCCAACGCCUACUUGCUCAAACUCGCCAAGUUGAAUCAUUGAUGGCAGAGGUGGCAAGUCUUAAACAAGAGAUCAGAGGGCUCAAGCACGAGAAUAGGGUGUUACACGUGCUUGCAAAUAGUUACUCUACGAGCAUGAAAAGAAAGCUCGUCCAACUGCAGGAAUCCGAAAGUCGGAUUCAAAGUGAUCACCAGAGGUUCGUUGCUAGAUUCCGAAAGCAACUGAUGCCUUUCCCUUCUGGUGUUUUGCUAAGUACUGGGGUGCCACAUGAUCAAUCUCUAGUGCCUCCCCCUUCUGGGGUACUUCCGAGUACUGAGGCUUCACAUGAGCAACCUUUGUGAAGGCUCCAUCCUGUUUGUUUGUUUUAACUCAUGUGUAUGUAUAUAUCUGUAAUUUCUUGGAGAUAUUAAUAAAUAAGCUUUAUUUCAUUCAAUGUAUUGUGCCAAAUACAAUAAAACAUAUACUUCACUAAGAUGUGGUACUUCUGGACCAAAUAUUAAUUUAUCUUUGCCCUCAUGAAGAUAAAUGAUUAUUCUUAGUGUCUUCAUCAUAUGAGUAUUCAACUCAUAAUCUUCAAUCCAUAUGGUUCUUUUAAUAUCAUAAAUAUCAUGGAUAAGAUUCGUGUUGGUAGAUUGUUCGAUCUGUAGCUCGAGACAAUAAUUCCUUCAACACUUUAUAAUUUGUUCUAGACUUUUCAGGAGUCCCAAUUUAAUAUCAUCAACUCUUCAAGAGUUCUAAUUUAAUGUCAUUGACUCUUGCAAGAGAUUUUAGUAUGUUGCAACAAUAUUAUAAUGAUAGUACUCACUAAGGCAAUUUAUAUCAUUCAUUGGUAUUGAGUACAUAUUUUAUGUUUUACCCUUCAGGGGCUUACUUCAAGCAAUUUGAAUCCUUCAAGGGUUUUCUACACUUCAUGACACAUUUUCCUUUGGAAUUUAUACAGAGCAAUUUGCUCCCAUGUAUACUUGAGGGAUUUACUUAUGGAGAUAUAAUGUGGGCGACUCACAACCCUUCGUAUAUAAUUCUCCAUUCAUAUGAACUCGUUUACAACCUUGUGUCAUAUCAUGUGAGUGUAUUUCACUGUAUUACAAAUGCCCAAUGUAACCUCCUGGGUUCAACAUCUUUUGGCUAUUUGUAUUGUAUUCAAAUAUAUAUAUAUGUUCAUUUGCCCACGUUCUUACAAAAUUGUAAUGGAAUUGCCUUUCUCCAUUUUGGCCAAUAAUUUUUCUUUUGUCGACGAACAAAAGAACGUGACUCAAUAUUAACACAGCUCAUUGAUGAAUUUAGUAGCUACUUGUAAAAACCAAAAUUACCAUUGGUUAUCAUCAAUCCGUGAUCCCAUAUUCUCAUGUGCAUGCGCACGCAUAAAAGCUUUUCAUUUCUUUGGAUAUCCAUUGCCUCUUCAAGGGCAUGACGCUAUCUCUUCCAGGAUAGUCAUAAUUUAGAGAAUGUGGAUCAUAACCUCCUCUUGAGCGUUAUAGAGCUUGGAUUUUAAUCUCCACUUCCGGGAGUUGAGUCAUUGGAACCUAUAUGUCUAUUAUGCUCCAUGUAUGAGACAUCAACAUUCCCAUGUCUGCGGAUUGUCCUAUCUGGGACGUGUAUCCAUGCGGUGACUGUCAUGCUUCUGGCAUGCAACAGUUAUGCUUCGGGAAUGCAAUAGUUCAGUAGUGCCAUAUUAUUCUUCUUUCGAAUAACUAAACCUUUUGAGUCUAAAAAUCUGCCACGCUUCAGGCGUGCAACAGAUAAAUCAUUUACUGUCUCAUUAUUUUAUCCAACAGAGACAUCAAUUCUUGUAGGCACAUUUGCAGUAAGUAUAUAUGAUUUCAUCACUUUCGUUGCAUCAUUCAAUUAUUCAUAUUUCAUUUUCUCAUUGAUUGCUUCGUGAAUCAAAAUAAGACAAAUUCUCUUCGUUCUUCUGGAACGGUCUUUUUUCAUCAUUAUUUUGGAAUGAUAUUUUCUCAUCGUUCUUCUGGAACGAUAUUAUUUUCUCCCCCUAAUGGUAGGAAAAUUGUCUUAUCAAAAUGACAGUCCGCAAACCAUGCGGUAAACAUAUCCCCAAUCAAGAAUUCCAAAUAUUGAAUGAUAGAUGGUGUUUAGCAUCAAUGCCUAAUCUGCAAUGAUGCCUCAUUUCAGUACGUUGUGGCAGUCUUACAGGCACAUAGACAACACAACAAAAAACUCGUAAAUGUAUAAUGUUUGGUUGGUUCCCAAACUCGAGUUGUAGAAGUAUUGAUGGUUGAUAACAUAUCUCAACCGAAUUAAUAAUGCAUCAUGUAAAGUUUACAUGUCCCCAUGUAGAAAACUGGCAAUUUCGUUUUCAUGAGCAGAGCGUUGGUAAUCAAUUUCACCCACUUAAUAAAUGCUUCUGCUAAACCAUUUUGAGUAUGGACAUGAGGAACUUCUGGUCCUUAUUAAAUAGUCUAUGGAUUGAGACUUUUAUGACCUUUAUUAUAAUUAAGUUAAGGCACUGUGGCACUUCAAACUUAAGGUACUUAUCAAGAAACUUCAUGUCCGAUCUUGAGGAUCUAGGGACUUCAUGUUUGAUCUUUUUGCAUGAUGGAACUUCGGGUCCAAUCAUUUUAUGUGAUGAGGAUCAAGAAACUGCAGGUUCUGAUCUAAUCAAGGAAUCUGGGUCCUUGUUAUACUCAUCGUAACAAAAGAUAAGUACAAUAAAUAAAUUAAAGCAAUAGGCUGGAAUUUCAGCCAUAGUAAAUAAAUUGAACAAUAAAUAAAUUAAGGCUUGUGACAAGGGCUUUAAUUCAGCACCAUUCACAUAAAUCAAAACUUAAAGCAGUAGGCGGUAAAACCGUCCAUGAUAAAUAAAUUGUUUUAAAGUAAAUAGAACUUGUGACAUGGGCUUUAAACCAACACCAUGCACAUAAAUAUCAAAGCUUUAAAGCAAAGGGUAAUAAUUCUACCCACUGUAAAUAAAUUGCUUUAAAUAAAUAGAACUUGUGAAAGUGUUUUAAGCCAACACCAUUCACAUAAAUAAAUAUAUAAAUAUUUUCUUCUUUCUUUUCAGACGGUGUAACACCAUCCAAAAACCUUUACCUUUAUUUUAUUUUAUUAUUUUCUUAUUCAAUCACAUGCUACAACAUUCCAACAACUUUUGUUUUUAUUUCUUUUAUUUUACAUGGUGCAACGCACCUUUCUAAAUCAUUGGCCCCAUUUCCCCUUUUCUUUGUCUAUCUCUACCAGUCUCGAAAUUCAGUACCAGCUGGGUUGUUGUGGGGGUUACACAAAACCAAUUCAAUCCAAAAAGGCUACCAGAGACUGGCGUUGUUCUUGCAUGGCCCAAAAAACAUGGCAUCGCAAAGCAAGAACCUCUCCAUAUAGACAUAGAUGACAGUGAGGUUGACGAAGGCACAAGAGAGGGAGGCCUGUGUGGAGUCAGUCAUGCCAUCACCAUCUCAGACAACUGAGGAUUCAUGGAGGUCCUCGAGAUCCAUUGAGAACGACACGAUCUGGGUUUCCAAGUCUAAUGAGAUUCUUCUGGAUCUCUGGAAACCAGUUGUCAGGUAUGAGUUUUCUUAUCUCGUGACGACUUCAGGUCGUUGGAAAUUUCAAUUCGCACCGAAAAUCGGUGAGGCGCUUCUGGCGCGGUGGGAGAAACGAAUGGACAUACCUUUGCUUGUUUUGCUGCACCUUUGUUUGUCUGUAAGAUCUCUCCAUCUUUCUUGUCCACGAGAGAAAAAAUAGAUUGCAGGUCUAGCAGGGAUAAGGAUUAGCACAUCAAUAGUUAGAGUGAUAAAAGAAAAGUGAUAAAAGAAAGGUUGAUGGAUUUUUGUGACAAGAUGAUCUUCCCUGUUUGACAUGUCUGGCUUGCCGUCUCUACUCUGUGAGAUUUUAGCUGACCGAGGUGAGAGGUAGAUAAUGCUUCACCGGAUUUAUGGUGUUGUGCUUUCCACUGACAUGAGAGCUUUUCGUGCUGAUAACGUGUUGUAAAAUCAACUGUGGGUGCAGUGGAAUAAAUGAAACAAGACACAAAAUUUACGAGGUUCCUCUACAGUCAGUGUGACUGGAGUACGUCCUCGGGGCAGCAGUGGUGCUUUCAUUAUAAUUUGAAAUAAUAGGAGUACAAAGAUAACUCUCUCUAUUAUCUCCUCUCAUCUUCCUCUAUUCUCUCUCUUCCUCUUCCUUCCUUCCUCUCUUUCUUUCCCGUGAACUCCCCUCACUUCAUUCCUCUUCUUCCUUUAUAUAAACAAAAGAAAGCACUAUUCACUUUACAAAUUUUCCACAAAUGAAUAGUGAAAAUACUGUGCAUAAAUAGUAACAAACUAUUCAUGUGGACCAUCCACACACUAUUUACAACAAGUUGAACAAAGUAUUACAAUUAUAAUCAGAUAAGUCGUUCCUCAUUGAUUUGAAAUUUUCGGGUAUGAAGGCGGAGGUGGGGAAAAAUACUUGUCGGAUUGUAAUGACAUGACAUCCCCGAUUCGACCCACUAUCAUCCCUACAUGCCCUUUUAUUUUAUUUUAUUUUAAAUAAAAAUUAGUUGUGAAACUUACUCUGCAUUGAACUUUAACAAUCUGAAUCGCUUAUUUUGAAGGUUUUGAUUUAUUGAUUAUUCUUGAAAAAAUUCAAUUCAAUAUGAAAUCAUUUGACUGUUUAAUUAUCACGAUAAAAUUUCAUGUUAUAGAAACAUCAUUAACAUUAAAUGAGAAGUAGUAAUGUUUCAAAGAAGACAUUGUUUUGUAUUAUCACCAUAUAUAUUGGCUAAAUUGUAUCUCCGAUGGAUUCCAGAUGCAGCAAUUAAUCAACAAAAAAAACUAUAUGCAAUUUUGACUAUUUUGAUCACCUAUAUAUUAUAUUUGAUAGUAAAAUGAACAGAGCUUACGCGCAAGCGCAAAACAUACGUCCAAAAACCAGAUCGUGGUUGCCACUUUCCACCGGACCAACUUCUUAGUCUUCCUUCUCUUAGUUGUAGAGAAGUCUUCAUUUAAUUUACGUAAAAUAAUACAAUUGUUGAAAGAAACAACAAAACAAAAUAAAAGCACCUCAUUAGCCCACCAUAUAUAGACUCGAUCAAAGGUCUUUUACGUGUGUGAAUUUUUAGGGUUCUUUCCUGUAUUAUUAUUAUUAUUUUUUUCCUGAUAUGAUUUCAAUUUAUCACCAAAUCAUCAACCACGUAAAGUUGAUAUAUAUAAAUGAGAAGGCGACAAAAGGGAAAUAGAUAGAGCAAUUACCUUUGCUUUUAAUACCUGUAGUUUCCUCCAACGAAGACAAACGAAAUCGUUGAUUCCAUAGAAGAACAUAUAAACCUAAUUAAUUAGGUGAGUCGACCAAGUUAAAAUAAAUGUUGAAUGUCCUUGCAUCAUCAAAGGUGGUGGCUGUGAGGGGUUUGGUGUUAGGACUUGGAUUCUCUGCUCUCCCAAUUCGGUGCUCUCCCCGUGCCCUUCUGUUUGUGUGAUCACGGUUAAGCUACGUCAAUAUUUUAUAUUACUAUUUUUUUUUUGUCUUAUUAUUUUUAUAAAAAACAAUAUAAAAUGUUAGCAUGGAUUAACCGUGACCACACAAAACAGGAGGGCACGAAAAAGGCACCGAAAUGGGAGGGCAGAGAAUCCAAGUCCUUGGUGUUACGGGUUACUUCAAGGUUUCUGUGAUGUGAAAUAUAUGGAUGUCGUCCGUUUCAGUCAUGCGGCUUUGUUCUGCUUUAAUGUUUUCAUUUUUUAAAUUAUUAUUUUUACAUUAGUGACUUUGAUGUAUAAUUAAAGUAUACAAUAAAUAUCGUUUUAUAUAAGGGAACUUUAACGAAAAGCUCCCAAUACUGUUCACUUUAACGAAAAACCACAUUUUUACACUAAAAAGUCAAUUCUGGUACUAUUCACUUUACCCUUUAUUUUGUCCUUAUCAUUUAAACUCAAAAUUUUCAAGCCCUUUUCAUUAGUUUUCCUUUUAUAUAACUCACUUUUGCAAUUGUACGGAUAUUGUGGUAGAUUCAAGAUUUGAAUUUUGGGGAGUCUCAAUGUUAGAUAGAAACGAAUCGUAAAGCGUGCAAAAAAUAUUUUGGAUUAUUCAAUGAAACAUUUCGUCGAACGCUUGGUAAAUUUGUUGUCUUUAACCAAAUCAUGUUACAUAUAUAUCAACAAAUAUCGACAUAUGCUGAAGUAAUUUAAUGAGUGAUAUCAAGAUAACUUUUUGAGUGUUGUCGUAUAAUCUGUUAAGAUAUGUCUAACAAGUAUUAUAUCAAACAUUUAGUAUGUACAAAAAGAAUCUGUAUUAAACAUUUGGAGGGUCCUAAAAAACCCUUCAUAUUUAUAUUCUAAAAUUUUGAAUAAUCUUGAGAUCACCUUAGUUCCGUUACUGAACAUGAUAUGGCAAAUUGGUAAAUUGAAUCGGCAUGUGAUUGUUAAGCAUUUCUCGAUAAUAUGACACUCAAAACGGAUGAUAAAAAUUCUUGGGUAGUAUGUUUAUUCAUCCACGAUAUCGACACGAAUGAUGUUUUCUUGAAUGCCAAGGCAAAGUCGAUUUGAGUCAGAAAUUAUUUUUGUCAACAGCUGCACCCCAUGCGUAUUGACCACGACAGCUUCAACUUCAAGAAUCAAAACGUUUCUUUUGAAUAUGACAUGAGGAUUAAAAUAGGGUUGACGAUAUCUGUGAUGUGACCAUUUAUGUCGGCCACCACAUAAUACAACUGUGAAAGGUGGCUUGCAGAAGUUUUGUAUUUCUGGGAUUUUAAUAGGUCAAAGAUGGAAUGUACGUGUAGUAGUUUAGCCUAGGGUUUCACCAAAUGAGAAAAUGAGCUGAAAAUACCAAUUGAGUCCCUAUCCAUUGUUUCAUGAUGAACCGUCUAUUAUUUCGACAUAUUUGGAUGCUUAAACGAUCUUCACUUCAAAUAAUUGUUUGUACGAGUAAUCUUCAAAUGAAGAUUAAUAAAUUAGACGUUUUCAAUCGUUGAUUUUAUUCAGUCAAAAUAAGUUAUUCGUAAAUACAUAAUAUAUAUACAUCCUCACAUUGAGAAAUGCAAGCAUUAUUCUUAAUUUAUUAAGUACUGAGAAUUCCUCCUAAAUUAAAUUAAAAGAAAAAAAAAAUUACAAACACACACGAACUUUUCCACUUUUAUAAAAAAACGAAAUUUGGUAUUUCCAAUGUCAACGUUAUUCCGAGCCGAUCAGUUGUUUACCAAUCGAGAAGAAGUCUUACUAUGUUUACAUUGAGAAUUCAAAUCCAAAUCCAAACGUGUUCUUCUAGUUUGUCAGCCUGUAAAGUACUUAGAUUGGCUAUGGUCAAAAGGAUCUUAUUCAACAUGGUUUGUUUGCUUCAAGAACCGAGUUUCUGACUUCUGUUCAUAUAUCUUUAUGCUAGCAUUCUCUGAUGAAUCGCCAACUUAAUCAAACUGUUAGCUGGAUAUACAAUACCAGUCAUUUUGUUCAACUUUUCAAAGUCCUUAGUUAGCAAAAUGAUAAAAAUUUAUUACCUAAUGUGUUACCUAAUUGUGGAAAUAAUGGGUUCGCAGCUUCUUUCCAAAUGCCUAUAUAUAAACAACAUAUAUCGAUCUCUAAGACAUCACAAGAGUAAUACAAUAUCUUCAUAACAAUAUACGAUUCUCAUUUCCCCUUCAGCUAGUUCUUUAAUUUCUUCCCCAUGGCACGCUUAGCAUUUGUGCUAGUAUGUGCUGUAGCUCUAUUGGCUUCUUCAGUAGCCUCUGGUGCAAUUGUUGAGCAUUCUUUUAAUGUAAGUCUGUUCCCAUAAUGGCUAAAAGAGCAUUCUGACACUUCUGAUUCAAUUUGACAGAAAAAUUCAAAAUAUUUUUGGGUCAUAGAAGCGGCUUUUAGAAACAAUAUUCAAACGAGCCCUUUGGGAUCCUUAUUUUGUCAUGCAUAUUUCCUCACUAAUUAUUUGAAUGUUUCCUUUGAAUAAUAGUAGUCAUAAUUUUCUUUUUAUUUCUAUUGUUUCAGGUAAACAACAUGACAGUUAGCCGACUGUGCCGAAAUCAAUCGAUUACUGUAGUAAAUGGGAGCUAUCCAGGACCGACAAUAUAUGCACGAGAUGGAGACACACUUAUUGUCCACGUUUUAAACCAAUCACCCUACAACAUUACUAUUCACUGGUAAAUAUUAGUUUACAUAUCCAAAAUCAUUUACCCCUUAACAUAUACUAGAACAAAACAAAAAUUCUAUUUGAACACACUUACUAACGCACCCUUCAAUAAAGAUGACCCAACCAAAUUAUUUGGGACCCACACGUGUAACAGUGUGAGUUUUAUGUAUCUAAAUCACAUUACUUGGAACAAAAUGCAUACCCAUAUUUUCUUAGUCAAUUUUUUUUCUUGAGUAACAAUCCCCCAGGCGAACGUUGGGUUAUGUUUUGUUCAUGUUGUAUAGUUUCUUUCUUAACGCAGGCAUGGAAUCUUUCAGCUUCUGAGUGCAUGGGCGGAUGGACCUGCAUAUGUAACUCAAUGUCCUAUACGCCCUGGACAAAGCUUUACAUACAAAUUUAAUAUCACCGGACAAGAAGGCACCCUUUGGUGGCAUGCCCACGUUUCGUGGCUCCGCGCAACCGUCCACGGAGCACUCAUAAUCCACCCGAAAGUCGGUCGAUCCUUCCCCUUCCUCAAGCCCGCCAAAGAAGUUCCCAUCUUAUUAGGUAAUUAACAAUCAAACUAAACAAUUCAAUUUAGUUUAUAUUAAUCAUGAAACGCACUUAAACAUUGAUUUUUAUGACUAAUUAUAAAUUGUUUGAUGGAAUUGCAGGAGAGUGGUACAAUGGUAAUGUUGUUGACAUUGAGGAAGAAGGCCUAGCUACCGGAAUUGCUCCUAACGGUUCAAAUGCUUACACCAUAAAUGGACUUCCCGGCGAUCUAUACGACUGCUCUCAAAAUCGUAUGUAACCAUGCAUGCAUGCACGUAAAUUUUUUUAUUUUUAUAUACUACUUUUGCAUGAUGAAUAUUAAUAAUUUAACAUCAAUUUAUCAGAGACAUAUCAACUCAAUGUGGUGAGAGGAAAGACCUACCUCCUACGCCUAAUCAAUGUUGCACUCAAUAACCAACUCUUCUUCAAGAUAGCCAAUCACAACAUGACAGUUGUCGCUAUCGACGCCACCUAUACCACUCCUUAUGUCACCGACGUGGUGGUUACUGGACCCGGCCAGACCACUGACGUUCUCGUCAAAUUCAAUCAACCUAUUGGAUCCUAUUUCAUGGCCGCCACUCCUUAUGCUAGCGCAAACAUUAACUUUGAUAACACAACCACCAGAGGCAUCAUCGUCUACAAGGGCUCUAGAUCAUCAACCCCCAUUAUGCCCUCAAUGCCCAACCCUCGCAACACACCAUUGGCCCACAAGUUCUUAACCAAUCUCACCGGCCUUGCCGGCGGGCCCCAGUGGGUCCCGGUCCCACUCAAGGUGGACGAGCGCAUGUUUGUGACAAUUAGCGUCAACUUGGAGCUGUGUCCGGAAAAUGCCACAUGUCAGGGCCCGCUCUUUAAUCGAUUGUCCGCUAGCAUGAACAACGAGUCAUUCGUGCUUCCGAGCAAUACAUCCAUGAUGGAAGCACAGUUUAACAACAUGAGUGGGGUUUACACCAGAGAUUUUCCUGACGAGCCUCCGAUCAAGUUUGACUACACGGACACGAACGUUAGCUUUGACCUGUCGUUGAUAUAUGCCCCAAAAUCAACCAAGGUCAAGACGUUGAAAUUCAAUUCGACGGUGGAGGUCGUGCUUCAAAACACAGCGUUCUUGGCGAUUGAGAAUCAUCCGAUGCAUCUCCAUGGCUUCAAUUUCCACGUGCUGGCACAAGGGUUUGGUAAUUACGACCCAAUUAAUGACCCCAAAAAAUUUAACUUCAUUAAUCCACAAAUACGUAACACAAUUGGUGUGCCGGUCGGAGGAUGGGCUGUGAUCAGGUUUCAAGCAAAUAAUCCAGGUUAGUUUUACUAAGCACCACAGUAGUUGAAUGUCUUGUAUUUUAAUUAUAUUAUUAAUAAUUAAUUCUGAUUAUUUGUUGUAAACUAUUAUCUCAGGUAUUUGGUACAUGCACUGUCAUUUGGACGUUCAUGUGCCCUGGGGGCUAGGCAUGGCUUUUGAGGUUGAAAAUGGACCGACGCCAGAAUCUACUUUGCCUCCGCCACCACUUGAUCUUCCCAAAUGUUAGAAGUUGUUCGAAAGGCAUCUCAAAAUAUUGUUUCAUUUUUUUGUACUUUAAAAAUAUCGUGGUCACUUUCAUUCUUUUGGUUACAAAUGAAUAACUUUGUAAUAAAAUUAGUCACGGAUGUAUUGUAAAACUUGGUCAUCAUUGUUUGACUAAAAUCACAAUAAAUUAUUUAUUCAUAAUAUUUCAAGUAAUGUCCUAAUUUACUCGCGGAAUGACUUGACAACCUUUUGUUUACUUAAUCCCGUUAGCUCUGGCCUCUUCUUUUUAUUUUUUAUUUUUUUCAGAACAAGUAAAAUUAUCUAGUCGUAUUCUUAUUCAUUAGUACAUGAAAAGUCUAAUAUUCGAUUUACAUUGAUGAUAAUAAAAUUUAAUAUUUAUGUUAAUUAUGAUACCUAAUUAUGACUGAUUCAUUGAUUGUUUCGUAUAGACACGACCUCCUCUUAAGAAUUAUCUCAUCUUAGAAUUACACUGGAAUAUCCUUGUUUGAAAAGGGGAAAAAAAAAGUAACUACAUCACUUGAAUCAUAUUGAGCCCCCAAAUCAGCAGAUUUUAGGUUUUAUACUAUCAGGGAUUUGGUCUGCCCAUCACAUAGCCACACCAUAAUAGUUCCAAUUACAAAAAAAUUUAUUAAAGAUAAUCUUUAGUUUAAAUCUUAUAAACUAACAGCUGUUAAUAAUAAUGCUUAAGAAAAAUGCAUUCCUUGUAAGCUUUUUUACUGAAUCUUCACUUUAUUUUACGUAUAACAUGCUGACAACUAUGAACGUGACUGCUUACAAUUUAAAAUUGUCCUAACUGACUAUUACAAUUUGAUUUCACACGUAUUAAUAAUUUCUCCAGCAUGUGAUUAAGUUGUGUUCUUGUCGUCCAAGUUGACUUCUAAAUGAGUUGGCAUCUUGUUAUGAUAGCCUUGAUCACAUUGCAUGGUCGAUUUCUAUACGUGGGACGUGUAUUCACCUAUCUAAUAGCGGUGAUGAGUAAAAGUGAAUCAAAUUACGUUACUGGUUUAAAUGUGUGCGUUUUCUGGCAUCAUCUACUCUUAAACGAUAAGGCUCUGGGACAUUAUACAUAUACUAAAACCCAACGCAAAAAACACUGUUCAUUAACAGUGUUCUUCCAUUUUCACCCCUGCUUCUUUUUUGUUAUUUCAACUUUGCCCUUCCUUCUUGUAUGUCGACCCAGCUUUUCUAUAGAUGCUUGCUUCCCCACCGUUUCAGUCUCUAAACCCACCUUCUCGACUUCUGCUCUCCCCGUCUCCCUCCUCGCCUCUCUUCUCUGCACCAAGCACCUCGAUUUAGGGCUUCACCAUUUCUCUUCGAAUCAAGGUCUCUAUUUCUCUGAUUGUUAUCCAAUUGCUUGAUUAAAUCGUUAAUUAAUCUUUUUUUUUCCGUGAAAUAUUUGGAAAAUCCGCCCAGAAAAGGAUCGAAUCGCAUUAAUUAGCUAAUUUUCCAUCUCAUCUGAUUGUAAAUUGGUUUAAUUGAACUUUAAUUUCAUUGUCAAAGUUCCUAGCUUUCGGUUUCGUGGGAAAAUUUCCUAUUUAGUUGAAAAAUAGGCAUUCAUUGGUGAACUGGGUUCCAUUGUUUGGAAGCCGAGUUUGGAGAAAUAGAAAGUCUUGGAUUUUGGGAAGAGAGAGAAAGAGGAAGAGGUGGUGGUGUCCAUUGUUUGGUAGCCGAGUUUGGAGAAACAGAAAGUCUUGGGUUUUGGGAAGAGAGAGAGAGGAAGAGGUGGUGGUGUGGGCUUGGGAGCGAGGAGAAAAGGGGUAUAUAUGGUGAGAGAUUAGGAUUAAAUUUUACUUGGAAAAUUUGAAUUAUGUGGACCGAACCCACCUUCUUUUUUUGUAAUGUUUGUUGCGGCAACCAUAUCUCUGUUCUUGACCCAAUGCAAGAAGUCAGUAACUUGACCAUGACACCUCCUUUUUUUGCAUUGUUUGCUGCGGCAACCAUAUAUCUGUUCUUGACCCAAUGCAAGAAGUCAGUAACUUGACCAUGACUUGCAGGAUGUUUUCAUGUGUUAUUUUGUUUCCGCUUACGAUCUUCAGUAGAUACCCCAUGGGUGAAAUUUUUGGCUUCCCAAACUGCCAGAAGAGUCAAAUCCCUCUUGGGUUAAUGCUUUAUUCUUUUUGCGAUUUUUCAAUGCUUUUUUAUAUGGCCCACUAAGUCUGUGACGCUGAAGUUUUAAGCCCCAAAUGAUUAUUUUCUUGCAUGAAAUUUCUGUCUGCAAGUUUUAUGAAGGUGUUGUUUCUUCUUACGACCUGCCAAAAAUAAACACUUGGUGAGUUGGAUUUAUGGUCUUUGGUCUUCAUGCUAUAUUGUAUGUUUUCUUUUGCGUAUCACAAAUAUGAAAUGUUAGAUCGAAGAUCUUCCACUACUAGAGUCCUUGAGUUAUAGACAUGAUCUGAGUAGAUGUAUUCGAUCCUUGGUUGUUCACGGCAUAACUUGCUGAGUGCUUUUGUAGUUUAGUUAUACUAAUAAGAAGUGUCAUUGCAAGUGUGAGAUUGUUUUCUCUUUGUGAUAUACUGAUUUCCUAAAUUGUUGUUCAAAUAUGUGUAAUGGUUGAUUAUGGCUCGCAUAUGUUGUUCUUCGAUUAGUAGUCAGGGUUGUUAAUUUCUCUGCUUUUUUGGUUUGAUUCCGAUAAUAUUUUUGGGUUUUUGGUUGGUUUGAUCUGGGUUUUCGAAGUAAGUUCUGCAUGUUUGUUGCCGCACAAGGUUUUGAUUAUCCUUUUUUUUUUAUGGCUUUUGUUAGUAUCUCAUGUGCUUUGGUUUUUUAUUUCAGAAACUUUGUGCCCAUUUUGGAUUCACUUUGAACUUGGUUGAGACCGAUCUAAUCCGGCAUUCCCAAGUGAGUUUUGCAUGUUUCUCAAUGUAUAUGGUUUCAAUUUUUUGUUCCGGUAAUAGAAACUAUGUCCUUUGACUCUGCUUACAUGCUUUUUAACAUGGAGAGAAAUUGAAUUUGUAUUUCAGAAUUAGUGUUCUUCUUGAUGUCCAACAGUCUGGAAAUAGUUUUUCGUAUUGUAGUUUAGAAUUAGUGAUCUUGAUUCAAAACUUGAAACUCAAAGGAUAACAAACCUCUGUUUUCUGUAAAGAUAUAUUUCCAAAAUAUUUUUAACACCUGCAGCAACGCGCGGGGGCACUUUUUCUAGUGUAUACUAUUUGAAACAGAAAUUUGGUGGUCUAGUAUUAGGGAUUACGCUUCAUUAAUGUUACAAAUCUCCUCCAAAAUUCCUUGCUACUAACAUUCCAGAGGAACACCAUGCAACAUGCAUGGCUAGAAGGGACCAGGGGAAAAUGCAAGAUGAAGCUUUGUUCAUAAAUAUUAUUGCGAAACAGGACGAGGGGCAUUUGCAGAAGCAUCGCCAUAACUCGAAAUUUCUUCCAUGGCACGGUGAGGAUUGGAACGUUGUUUUUUGCAUCGAUAAGGCAAGAAUACUCCUGCAUUUUAAUUAAAACAGUUGACAAAGAAUGUAAGUACAUUUUUUACCCCAAAAAAAUGUUAGUACAUCAAGUUAGAACACUCUAAUACCACGUUAGAUAAUCACUAAAGCUCUAAGAUUAAGAAAAAUCGUCAAUCUUCUGCGCGUAGAUUGUGCGAGAUCUUGAUUACGUACCUUCUCCAACAGCCAUGUUGAAGUAAAGCUCAAUAAUGUUAGGGCACCUGUGAUAACAAAGCAUCUUGAGAACUCGAGGGUCGAAGAGGGAAUCAGAGGAAAUUCCAAUUGCCUUCCUAUCAAUACUGCAUGCCUUGAUGCACUCAUCCGUCUCUAUGUACUCCGCCAUCUUCUCUACCACCCCUCCCGACGUCUUGCAUUCGUGUCCAACCUUUCUGCCCUUCUUCGCGAUCGUUUCCAACAAGCACUGUUUACCGAAGAUGACACCGAAAAUGCGCAAAUCUCAUUUGGCAUAUACUCACAAAUAAUCUCACCUGGAAAUUAUAACCAAGAUUCUAAACACAACGCACAAUGUUCUUAAGUUUAAUUAAUUUCGAAGGGAACUGUUAUUAAACACUUUAAAAAUCUCAUUCUACACUCCUCGUAAGUGUUAGGAAUGUCGGUACUACAAGAUAGAGAAUGCACCAGGUAAAGUAGAAAAUGGACACCAAGAAUUUUAUGUGGUUCGGCAAUCUAUGCCUACGUCCACAAAACAAAGAUCAAUCUUCACUAUAUGAAAAAGAUGAGUACAAUAAGCUUAGUCUUACCAAGCCAAAGACAAGACUUGAUGGAUACAAGAAAAUAUGACACACACUUUCUAUCACUCUAAACUUCACUCACAAUGUGUAGUGAAACACUCUCACUCUCACUCUUACAGUGGAACUCUAGCUUUAGACUUGAUCCUUUGCUACUCACACUUGGUUCUUAAUUGGUUACUACACCCAUAUUUAUAGGUGAAGGUUUGGUAUUCUACUUGUUUCUAGUGUAUUCUUCAAACAUCUAGCAUAGAUAAUUCUAGACUAGCCACAACAUUGUAGCUUCUAGAUAUUUCCAUUUGCAACCAAGGAAGCUAGUACUCUCUAGCUUCUUCCAUCAACUAAAUAACAUGCUAGAAUUGUCCAGCAUGCUCCAACCACCUCACUUGCUUACUAGAAUAAUCUAGAACAUUGAUCAUGGGCUGGACCAUAUACCAACAAUCUCCCCCUCCAGUCCAUGAGGGAGGAAUUCCGAUCAUGACUCCAAGUUACCUGGAGUCCAUCCCAGCAGCCUUAAUGCAGAAUUCCAACUUUUAUUUUGUGACUACCUUUGUCAACAUGUUCGAAGAAUUAUUAUCGGUAUGAAUCUUCUUCAGCUGUAGCAACUUGUUCUCGAUAGCAUCUCUAAUCCAGUGAUAACGAAUAUCAAUGUGCUUAGUGCGUGAAUGAUAUGUAGUGUUCUUGCUCAAAUCCAGAGCACUCUGACUAUCACAAUAAACGCCAUAAUCACUUUGCUUCAAACCUAACUCUUGGAGAAACCGCUUCAGCCAUAAUAACUCCUUGCAUGCUUCUGUAGCGGCUAUGUAUUCAGCCUCGGUUGUGGACAAAGCAACACACUUUUGCAACUUUGAUUGCCAAGACACGGCUCCCCCUACAAAAGUAAACAAGUACCCAGACAUAGAUUUUCUACCAUCCAGGUCACCUCCCAUGUCAGCAUCUGUAAACCCUUCCAAGAUUGGUUUGGAACCACCAAAGCACAAGCACAUCUUAGAAGUCCCCUUCAAAUAUCUGAGAAUCCACUUAACAGCUUUCCAAUGGUCUUUCCCUGGAUUAGAGAGAAACAUGCUCACCACACCUACUGCAUAAGCAAUAUCUGGCCGUGUGCACACCAUUGCAUACAUGAUACUUCCUACCGCUGAAGAGUAGGGAACAACUGCCAUUUUCUCAUUUUCUUCAUAUGUUUUUUGACACGACUCUUUGCUCAACUUGAUAUGAUUGGCUAAAAGUGAGCUUACCGGUUUGGCUGCUUUCAUGUUGAACCUUUCAAGCACCCGUUCAACAUACUUUUCUUGUGACAGUCACAACUUCUUGGAUUUUCUGUCACGAAUUAUCUCCAUGCCCAAAAUCUGCUUGGCUGGCCCUAAGUCCUUCAUGUCAAAUGACUUAGAUAACUCUUCUUUUAGCUUUUUAAUCAUAGAAGCAUCUUAACCGACAAUCAACAUGUCAUCAACAUAAAGCAAUAAAAUGAUGAAUUUACCUCCAGAAAAUUGUUUGAUAUAGACACAAGAGUCAGCAUGAGUUCUCUUAUACCCAUUACUCACCAUGAAUGAGUUGAACUUCUUAUUCUACUGUCUCAGAGCCUGCUUAAGACCAUAUAAGCUUUUCUUGAGCUUGCACACCAAAGUUUCUUUACCUUUGACUUCAAAGCCUUUGGGUUGCUCCAUAUAUAUCUCCUCUUCUAAGUUGCCGUGGAGAAAUGCAGUUUUAACGUCUAACUGCUUGAGCUUAAGAUCCAUGCUUGCUGCCAUACCAAGGAUAACUCGAAUGGAAGUCAUCUUCACCAUCGGUGAGAAAAUCUCAUCAAAGUCAACUCAUUUCUUUUGACCAAAACCUUUGACAACCAAACGAGCCUUGUACCUUGUCAUUUUGUUGUCUCUUUUUAAUUUGAACACCCACUUGUUUUUCAAUGUUUUUCUGCCCUUUGGAAGCUCCACCAGCUUAUAGGUAUCAUUCUUUAAUAAGGAAUCCAUCUCUGACUCCAUUGGCUUCAUCCAUUUAUCACUGUGUUUAUGAGCUCUGGCCUUCUCAUAAGUUUCGGGCUCUCUAUAAUUAGUCAACAUGAUAUACUCUGAUUAAGAAUACUUGGUAGAUGAUAUUCGACUUCUGCUAGAUUCUGACCUGAUCUUCAUUCUCUUGCAGAGCUGAAAGCUCCCCCUAAUUGGGUUCUCCUUGAAUUUGCUCUUCUUGACUAGGUUCCCCUUGAUCAGCAAUUUCAUAGUUUGGCACAUCUUGAUCAGGCUUCCCAUGAUCAACAUUAUCUGGUUCUGCAGGCACUUCAUUGGCAGCUGCUUCAAGGAUGUCAUCGUGACUUUCUUCAUAUGAAGCUAAUGGAUCAACUCCUCUGACUGCGCCAUCUGGUUGUGCCUCUUUAUCCGAAUCCCCAAUUGUUUGAUCUUCAUAAAAGACCACGUCUUUACUUCGGAUAAACUUCUUCUGGUAUGGGUCCCAUAAUCUGUAACCAAAAUCUUCACCGCCAUAACCAAGAAAGAUUCACGGUGUAGCUUUGUAGUCUAACUUCGAUCUCUGCUCUUUGGGCACAUGCACAAAAGCUUUGCAACCAAACACCUUUAGAUGAGAGUAAGACACAUCAUUACCAGUCCAUACUCUCUCUGGAACAUCAAGACCUAAUGGUACUGAUGGAGAUCGGUUGAUCAAAUAGCAGGCUAUUUUUACAGCUUCACCCCAGAAUUGCUUAGAUAACUUUGCAGUCCUCAGCAUACACCUGACUUUCUCCAUGAUGGUUCGGUUCAUUCUUUCAGCAACACUAUUAUGUUGUGGAGUUCCAGGAACUGUCUUCUCAUGACGUAUGCCAUGUUCACACAAUACUCUCUAAACUGGUGAGAUGUGUACUCACCGCCGUUGUCGCUACGAAGGCACUUGAGAGGUUUCCCAAUUUCCCUCUCCACCAUGUCAUGGAACUUUUGGAAUGUCUGAAACACCUGGUCUUUGGAUUUUAACAAAUACACCCAAACCUUUCGUGAAGCAUCAUCAAUAUAAGUAACAAAAUAUUUAUUUAUUCCAAGUGACUCGACUUCCAUGGGACCACACACAUCUAAAUAAACAAGAUCUAACAAAUUUCCUUUCUUUGUAGAUGGAACAUAAAAACUAAUUCUUCUUUGUUUUCCGAAUAAACAAUGCUCACAAGAGUUUAACGACGUACUUUUGGCAAAGGGAAUGUGAGACUUCUUUGUCAAAACUUGUAGGCCUUUCUCGCUCAUGUGGCCUAGCCUCUUAUGCUACAAGUCUAGAGAUGAGUCAUCCACAUCAUUCAACUCACCUUUCAAAACCUUGGCAUUUGACCGAUACAACGUAUAACAAAGUCGUGCUCUUGCUACCACCAUUAAGCCUUUGGUAAGCUUCAAUUUCCUUCGCCAAUAUGGGGAUAAUAUCGUUGUCGAUCAAGGGUACCGAUGGAUAUCAGAUUGAGACAUAUAUCAGGAAUAUGUCUCACAUCUUUCAACAUCAACUGGCAGCUGAGAUUAGUUCUUAGGCAGAUAUCACCAAUUCUAAAAAUUUUGGAAUAGCUUUCAUUUCUCAUCUUCACUAUGCCAAAGUCACCUUCUUUGUAUGUACUAAAGAACUCCCGUUUGGACGUAGUAUGGAAGGAAGCUCCAUUGUCAAAGAUCCAUUCAAUGUCUCUGUCAGAGUUGCCCAUAUGCAGACAUUCACCAACAGACAAUAUUUCUGGUACAUCACCACAUAUGACAGCGGUGGUAUUGCCAAUAUCAUCUUUCUUUUGAUUGUUUCAUUCCCUUUGCUUUCUCUUCCAAACUCGACAAUUUUUUCUUCAUAUAGCCUUCUUUGCCACAAUGAUGGCAUGCACCCCUGAACCUUGACUUGGAUCGGCUAGGACUCCUGCCAUGACCUCUAGGCCCUCUACUCUUGCUUCUUCCGUGGUUUUCUAUAACAAAUACUUGGUUGCUAUCUGUGCCUGAAGUCUUUCUCCUUGUUUCUUCGUUGAGCAAGCUAUUUUUAACAUUAUUAAGAGUAAGAACACCAUUAGAAGCAGAAGUACUUAUACUCACUACAAAGGUCUCCCAACUGUCUGGCAAUGAUCCAAGUAGCAAUAGCGCUUGCAGCUCAUCCUCAAUCGUCAUUUUCAUAGUAGCCAACUGGUUGAUGAUAUUUUGGAAAUUGUUCAAGUGUUCUGCUACAUUUAAACCAUCCUUGUACUUCACAUUGAUGAGCUCUUUGAUCAAGAAGGCUUUCUUGGCUGGGGUCUUCUUCUCGAACAAGGACUCAAGCUUCAUCCAAAACUCACGGGCAUUGGUUUCAUUAGACACAUGGUGAAAAACACUAUCGUCCACCCAUUGUCUAAUUGUGCCAAUAGCCUUGCGAUUCAUUUUCUUCCACUCAACAUCGGACAUGCUCUCGGGCUUAGCGGCAUCUCCUUCAAUUGGCUCAUGCAGAUCCUUGCAACAGAGAAUGUCGUUCAUCCUUGUCUUCCAUGUUACCCAAUUGAAGUUGGUGAGUUCGAUCAUAGUGCCACUUCCUUCCAUCUUGUAGUACGAGCCAACCGGCUCUGAUACCACUUGUUAGGAAUGUCGGUACUACAAGAUAGAGAAUGCACAAGGUAAAGUAGAAAAUGGACACCAAGAAUUUUAUGUGGUUCGGCAAUUUAUGCCUACGUCCACAAAACAAGGAUCAAUCUUCACUAUAUGAAAAAGAUGAGUACAACAAGAGUAGUCUUACCAAGCCAAAGACAAGGCUUGAUGGAUACAAGAAAGUAUGACACACACUUUCUAUCACUCUAAACUUUACUCACAAUGUGUAGUGGAACACUCUCACUCUCACUUUUGGAGUGGAACUCUAGCUUUGGACUUGAUCCUUUGCUACUCACACUUGGUUCUUAAUUGGUUACUACACCCAUAUUUAUAGGUGAAUGUUUGGCAUUCUACUUGUUUCUAGUGUAUUCUUCAAACCUCUAGCAUAUAUAAUUCUAGACUAGCCACAACAUUGUAGCUUCUAGAUCUUUCAAUUUGCAACCAAGGAAGCUAGUACUCUCUAGCUUCUUCCAUCAACUUAAUAACAUACUAGAAUUGUCUAGCAUGCUCCAACCACCUUACUUGCUUACUAGAAUAAUCUAGAACAUUGAUCAUGGGCUGGACCAUAUACCAACAAUAAGUGUAUUUUUCUUUCUAAUUAUAGAAGGUUUGAAGUGUAAAAUGAAAAUUUUGGAAUGCCAAUAACAAUUCUCAUUUCAAACUAACCAUGUUUAAUGAUUAAACGUAAUGACAUAUGUGUACAUAGAGAUGCAUGGAUGAAUAGGGAAGAGAGGAAGAGAAGAAAAGGAAAAGAAAAAAAAAUCAAUAAAUCCAUGUGGUUAAUUUGUGUAAGAUUGUCGCCAAUUGACAAACAAAAAGAGAUUAGUUUGUGAGUGGAGAGGUUUAAGUGAAAAGUAAAGGGAGAUUAAUAUGAACUAUACAUAGGGAGGACACCGGUUUAGAGGUUCUUAAUUGUUUCUAUUUUAGCUCCAUGUAAUUUCAAGCUCUUGAUAAUUUUUUUCCCUUAUAACGAAGACUAGUGGCUUGACAGUCCACUCUUGCGGGAGCAAAAAGACUCACAAAAACAUUUCAAUCUUUCAUACCAUCAUCGUGUGAUACACAAACGCUAAGAAUCGAACUCAUGACGUGUCGUGUGAAAUACGGACAUGAAAUUCAUCUCCAACCACAAAAUCACUCCGUGAUGGUUCUCUAGUAUUGAUAUUGCAAAUGUCGUAUUUCUGCCAUUGAAGUUCAAGAAAUUGUGCGGUAACAAGUGACUGAAUUACAGUACCACAUAAUACAUAAACGUGGAAGUAAAAAUGUAUUUAGAGGCCCAUCUAAGUCGGACCAAACUAUCCAGAAAUCGUAGCCCAAUUCCAAAGGAGUUCGACAGGAUUGGAUUUCUAUGCUGGAUGGCGAAUCAAUAACUUCACUGGUUUGUAGACAGUUACGUUAGCACAUGACCAAAAUUUGCACCAUAUUUAUUAGACUUAUAAUAUUUAGAUCUAACGGAAGAUAUGAUACAGAACCGAACGUAAUGGUAUUCUAGGAUUCAUAUAGCCGACCCCACUUAGUAAGGAAAUGCUUUGUUGUUGUUGUAUAUAGAAGCUGCAGCAUGAGAGUGGCAAUUCAAACAUAGAACCUAGGUGCACUAUAAAUACUCUUAACUACUUGAGCUAUAAUUACCUUAAGUUCAUUUAUCAUGAAUAGUGAGUUCGAUACCAAAUUGUUGUUAUAGCAAAGCAGAGCAUAGCAUAGCAAGGAAAUAAAUUUUAAUCAAUUGAAAACCCCAAAAUUAGAUUAUUUGGAAUUUUGGAGAAGAAAUGUAUAAGCAUUGUAUGUAUUGAUCUGACAUUUGUAAAGUAAGUAAUACAAUUACUUUUGAUAUAAAGGUUGUAUGUCUCAACAAAUCCCACCCACAAACAAAAUGAACCGAAAUUGCCCCUCUUCUUUUCCAACUAAUGUAAUUAUUCCUCACUUAAUAUACACUAAUAUUAUAUAAUUCAAAAGAAAUUAUUUGCAGAAACUACACAGCAUGAUUACAUAGGACUAGGAGCAGAUGCAGGUUCAAAUGCCUCUGAAGGGGGAUAUGCCGCAUGCAACCCUGAUGGUAAUUGGGAGCCGUGAGGACUAGGGGCGGCCUCGCCAGAGCUCAGAAGCGCGAUCAUGGAACGGUGAGGAUUGGAACGCUGCUUGUCGCAGAGAUCGGGCAAGAAUACACCUGCAUUUUUCAAAACAUAUAAUUAAGUUCUAUAUUAGAUUAUGUUACAUUGUACAGUUCUUACAUACAAGAAGAAUAAGAUGUCUAAUAUACAAUCGUAGUAAACUUGGUCACGUGAUCAACAUGUGAUACAAUGAAAUUAUAAAAAAAAUUUGCAUAUACCAGUUGUAUGUAAGAAUAUUUCGUUUAAUCACAUGCCUCCAUUUUAUUAAAGUGUACCAUAGUAAAAGGGUUGAUUAAAUUAGAAGGAAAUCUAUCACAAGGAAGGUAUCACAAUGCCACCAACAUGACAGAAAAAGAAAACGAAAGCAGACCAAAGUGAAGCAUAUUCCUAGGCAACAUAAAAUUGUUAAAAUAGUUAAGCAUAUCAAACCGAUUAAUGUAAUAGUGUAACUCAUACACCGAUAAAUUAAAGAAUUCUCAAUCUAUCUCAUUCUUCUUUUGAUUUAAUAUUAGUCCUAAAAAGAAGAGAAGGAAUGUUUUAGGCGUGACAAAACAAUCAUUCUUAACCACUUGGAAGUUUGGAACCACUAAAUAAUAUAAUUAUCCGAAAGAAAAAAAAAAGAAGAAUUUAAUUAAUGAUUUGUGAAAAUAUUCUUACCCUCUCCAGCUGCCAAGUUGAAGUAAAGGUCAGCAAUGUUGGGGCACUUUUGGUAACAAGGAGCAGAGCAGAGCUUGGCCAUGAACUGAGGCUCAAGGAGGGCAUCAGACGAAAUCCCAACAGACUUCCUAUCAAUCCCACAAGCCUGCACGCAUUGAUCUGUCUCUAUGUAAUCAGCCACUCCCUCCACCACAACUUCUGAUGUCCUGCACUGAUACUCUAUGCUUCCAUCUUUCUUGGACAUGGUCUCUAACAAGCACCUUUUCCCUGCCGACGACACCGAAAAUGCACAAACAUCGUUCGGCAAAUCCUCGCAUAUAAACUCACCUGAAAAAAAAUGAUCAAAACAAGUUUAAUAACUGCAAUCCAUUUAAUUAAUUAGUUAAAGAACAUUGUAUAUAACCAUAGCCGAUCGAAGACACAUUGUCAUGACCAACUCACCUAGAACUGCAUGGAUGGAUAGGAAGGAGAGGAAGAGAGCCAAAAACUUGGUGGAAACCGCCAUGUGUGGAGGAUCUGAGAACUAAUGUGGGGUUUUGUUGGACGAAAAAAAACUCAGAAGAGAGAUUUAUUUGUGAGAUUAGAGUGAAGGGAGAAGGGUGGAUUUAUAAGGAGGAGGAGGUUAUGAACUGUGAAACAACAAAUGGCUACGACUAGCUAUAUAUAGAGAUGGAAACGUUGAAAUAUAAGGCGGCGUCUCUACAUUCAUGGACGCGUUACCUUCCUGCAGGUUGGUGAAACUGUAUGUCUACGAUCCUCUUCGCAUUUUAUGUUUGGAGCCCAAUUUGUCAUUUGUUCUAUUUUCUAUUUUUUCUUAUUUGUUUUUGGUUAUUAUUAUUUAUUUUUUUAGUUUUGAUUUUGUUAUUGUUUAUUGACUUGUUUUAUUUGAUAAUGCAAAGACGUGUGGAAAGCCUGCAAUUUGAAAUUUCUUCUCUCUCUCCAUAUGUGGUGUUAGGUUUGUUGACAUUUAAUUUGUAUAGAUGCAUGACCGACGUUGUACAUAUUGAACUUUCUAUGUGGCUUCUUGGUUUAUAUUCCUUUUCCAUUCAACAAGUUGAAUAUUAAUAUAUGGCUUUUUAGCCAAAAUAAUUAUGAGAAUGACAGUAAUUUCUUAUUUUGAUUUAUAAAAUUUAAAUUGAUAGAAUUGGUGUCUGAGUUUGUCCAUCAUCAAUUAUUUUGAUCUUUUCAUGAAAAAUCUCCAUUAAAUAAGAAUACAAUAACAAAAAUACCAUCAAUUUUGUCAAAUCAUUUUAGCCUAUUGUUAGGGUAUUUUUAUCAUUUUGAUCUUUAUUUAACGGAGAUUUUCAUAAAACAACCAAAGUGUUGAUGUAGACAAACUCAGGAGCCACUCCUAUUAAUUUCAAAUCUCAGGGACCAAAAAAAUGAGUUAAUUAUGUUAAUCUCAGAGACUAUUUUGGCUAAAAUGCUUUUAUAUAUAUUAAUGAAGUACUUUAACUAAUAUAUGUUCUUGUAACUUAUUGCCUUUGUGAUACAACUAAAAGCCAGCAAGGUUAGAGUUCGAUAUGAUUACCAUAAAGACCUUAAUUAACAAAUUUCGUCAAGGUAAACAAGAAAUUAGAAAAAUAUAUUUCUACUACUAUUUAUUUGUCUUGUUUAGCUAAACUAGACAAACCAUUAAGCAAAUAUUGCAAAGUCAAGAAGGUUUGUUGGACCUAAAUAACAUGACAAAUGCAAUGAAUUUGACUUUUCGACACUUGUAAUAAAUUAACAAAAUAGAAAUAUCAUGUACCCAUGCUGUGCGUUUCCAAUAUUUUUGCUUUACAACUUAUAAAUUCCAUUUGAUUUGGACUAGGUCAUAUUAACGUCGCGAACAAGCCAUCUCGAACCAUGAAUAUGUUGAUGGCUAAACCGAAAGUCGUCAUCUUGGCGGUGAAGUUAAUUUCCUUUGUGUACAUUAAACGACAGCUAGGGUUCCACGCGUGAACUUCUGAAUGGUUCACUCGGCUUCAAUGGAAAGUCUAGAUCUUUAUGAAUGAAUGUCGUCUUGUUUUUUCUCGGUAAUUUUCAUGUGAAUGCCAUGUCGUGUCGCUGUUUAGAGAAAUAACUAAUCGAAACAAGCCAAUAAAUUAGGUUCCGAUGAUUUCCAGAACACCAGAUCAUUGCUGCGAAUUUACUCACACGGGUCAAAGAUUAUACUUUUUGAGAUGUAAGGUAUUGAGUGACUUGAGUCUAUUGACCCAAAAAGAAGUAUGAAUGAAGUAUUAUAACCUCAUGCUGCAUGCCUUGAGCAUCACCACCCGGUCAAGUACCGUCGGACGAGUGUAAUUUAUUCUCUUUACUCAACAGAUUUCAAAACUUAAACCUGUCUAUGACAACUAAUAUAGUAGUGAUGCUCACGAUCGGAUAAGGAAUGCAAGCAAAAGUGUUCCCCAAAAGUACUCCCUAAGUUUAUAAUUACUAGUAAAAAAAUAUGGCUAUUCACACUAAUUCCAAAAGUGUCUUUUAGGUUAUUCACACUCUAUUUUCAGUGUCAAAGCUUAAAAUGUUAAUAACUUAAAAAAUAAAAUUUUCCACCACUUUCAUAAAAAUACGUGGUGUACCAUCUAUAUUCCGGUCACAAGAAAAAAUUUCUCCACCGUGCAUCUCCUAAUGCAUAGUCACUGUCCUCCGCCUAGGUUUCUAUUGAUCCUUACCGCACUACAUGUGGUUUUGGUGGCUCUCUUCCAAAGGUAAUUUGGAUUGCAGAUCGCUGCAUCUGUUUUUCCGACAUGCAUCACAUCAUCUUUUUCCACUGAGCUAUAAUCCAUAUGGACACCAAUACGCCAUCUACUGGUGCACAAAUGCACAGAUACAUAUCCGUGGCUAAAUAACAGUGUGUGAUGCCCUUAAGAGGGUAAAGAAAAGAAUCUCCACCUUGUCAUUGAUUGUACUGCUCCCUUUUUUUUUUCUCUUUUAAUUAAUAUUGUCUGCAAUGUCCAAAAGGUGGAAUUGAAGGAAAGAAUAUCGAUGUAUGGAAAAUAAAAAGGAGAAGAAGGGUAGUAUAUCACAUCAAGGAAAGGAUUUGUCAUAGUUAAAUGGAAUUAGGGAGAGAGAAUUAUACAAUCAAUAUAUAUGCAUGAUAGAGGUCUUCCAUCUGCAAAGUUGUUCAGUUCUAAUUUUUUAAAUCAUAGAUAAAAAAGAAUUGCCAAGUUAUUGCUUAAGUUGUCCUCCGUUUGCUACUUCAUAUUAUUAAAGCAAAAUUUGUGUAUUUAUUUUUUGACAUUAAAGUUCCAAAUAAAUUUUCAGAAAUUAAAUAUCAUUUGAGGUUUCAAGUUCCCGCCAAAUCAUGCCAAAAAUUGAUAGCAAAUCCCUUUCGCCUUUUAUUUUUCUCUGUCUUUCUUUAGCUGAAUAGUACCAAACAAAUUUUGUUUUCUGUUUAUACAAGAUGAGUCACGUUCUCUUGAUCACUUGAUGAAUAAGAAGUCGUGGUCACUCACAUUUAGAUUUGAUAUCAAAUGUUGAGAUUAACAUAUCAAUAGCACAUCUACUUAUUCUGCACUUUUAUUGUUAAAUCUAAGGAUGAGUGAUCAAGCAUUCUUUGGUCACUAAGAGAACAGAAUACGAGAUUAUGAGAACCUAUAACCUUCAUUUCCAAGAACCAACAAAGAUAUUCACCAUCUUUUCCCAUAACACUUCGUCAUUGCCAAUAAUAAGAUCAUGUAAAUCUAGCCUAGAGGUCUUCCCUUCUGCCAAAUCUGGGUCACUUGUGCGGUGAAACCAAGCUUUAUGCAAAUUGCUAAGAGCUCCAAAGUAAAACUUGCCGCUACACCUUGUUAUAAAUUUAAGUUAAUCCAAAUACUUGGGGAUCAAGGUUCCUGAGCCUAGGUUUUAAAGCCCACAAUCAUUAGCAAUUAGGCUUAAUGGAGUUGAUUAACGACCUAAACCAAACAUCAAAUCCAACCCAAAUUGAAUUCCCACUUGUUAUUUGUUAUCUCCCUCCCCCUAUUGGCCUCCUCCAAGAAACCAUGAUCGCAAUACCAAACAUUACAAAAGCAAGAUAAGUGGGACCCAAAAUAAAAUAAGAAAAAUAUCAGAAAUUGUUGCCAACCUCACAAAUCCCACACACACAAUCCAACUAAAAAAAAACAAAAAAACCAGAAAAUCAGACACUGAAAAGAAAAAUCAGAGCAAAAAUCAGAAACACCAAAUCAUGGUUGCAGCAACGUUAACUUCACCGUCGUCCCAACUCCUAUGCUCAAGCUCCCGGUCUCUCUGUAACACCUCUUCUCUCCAACAAUGUGUGUUGGGGUCCAAAACAGUCGUCUCGUGCCCUAACUUAACUUACAACAAGAGGAGGCAUGCGGCUGACGGGGUUAGGUGCAUGGCCGUAGCGGCGGAGACAACAGAGCCGAAGAAAAAGAGCGGGUACGAGAUUCAGACGCUGACGAGCUGGCUGCUGAUGCAAGAGCAGGCCGGGGUGAUCGAUGCCGAGCUGACCAUCGUGCUCUCUAGCAUUUCGGUGGCGUGCAAGCAGAUUGCUUCUUUGGUGCAGAGGGCUAGCAUUUCCAACUUGACUGGGAUUCAGGGUGCGGUUAAUAUCCAAGGAGAGGACCAGAAGAAACUUGAUGUUGUCUCCAACGAGGUUUGUGCUUCUUCUAAGUCUUAACUGAAAUACAGACGUGAGUUCAGUCAAUUGGCUAAGACAAUAUGUUUGUCAUUUAACACUCAAAUUCUAAUUCCCUCUCAUUGAGUUCAAAUUACUAAUCAAUUUGGUGAUGGUUUUGGUAUUUAUCUGAGAAAAAAAAAGGACAAAAUUAAACAAAAAUGUUCCUUAACAAAGAGAAAAAAUAGGCAGAGUUUUAGUAAAAUCUAAUAAAGGCACA